This 72-nucleotide transfer RNA is filed under the name Ipomoea nil (Japanese morning glory). It matches the Rfam family "tRNA". From Rfam's summary of the family: Transfer RNA (tRNA) molecules are approximately 80 nucleotides in length. Their secondary structure includes four short double-helical elements and three loops (D, anti-codon, and T loops). Further hydrogen bonds mediate the characteristic L-shaped molecular structure. tRNAs have two regions of fundamental functional importance: the anti-codon, which is responsible for specific mRNA codon recognition, and the 3' end, to which the tRNAs corresponding amino acid is attached (by aminoacyl-tRNA synthetases). tRNAs cope with the degeneracy of the genetic code in two manners: having more than one tRNA (with a specific anti-codon) for a particular amino acid; and 'wobble' base-pairing, i.e. permitting non-standard base-pairing at the 3rd anti-codon position. The record is from Rfam by way of RNAcentral. Lineage: Eukaryota; Viridiplantae; Streptophyta; Magnoliopsida; Solanales; Convolvulaceae.
GGGCAUUUGGUCUAGUGGUAUGAUUCUCGCUUUGGGUGCGAGAGGUCUCUAGUUCGAUUCUCGGAAUGCCCC